RNAcentral lists this ribosomal RNA (478 nucleotides) under uncultured Planctomycetales bacterium. Its description in RNAcentral is "bacterial SSU rRNA". It matches the Rfam family "Bacterial small subunit ribosomal RNA", at positions 364 to 832 of the family's 1533-position model. Lineage: Bacteria; Pseudomonadati; Planctomycetota; Planctomycetia; Planctomycetales. The record is from RNAcentral.
UUUCGCAAUGCCCGAAAGGGUGACGAAGCGACGCCGCGUGUGGGAAGAAGGCCUUCGGGUUGUAAACCGCUGUUGGGAGUUAGGAAAUGUGGGAGUGUUAAUAGCGCUUCCGCUUGACUAAAGCUCCAGAGGAAGCCACGGCUAACUCUGUGCCAGCAGCCGCGGUAAUACAGAGGCGGCAAGCGUUGUUCGGAAUUAUUGGGCGUAAAGAGCACGUAGGCGGCUCUGUAAGUCAGCUGUGAAAGCCUUCUGCUUAACGGAAGAACAGCAGUUGAAACUACAGGGCUUGAGUGCGGGAGGGGAGAGUGGAACUUCUGGUGGAGCGGUGAAAUGCGUAGAUAUCAGAAGGAACGCCGGCGGCGAAAGCGGCUCUCUGGUCCGCAACUGACGCUGAGUGUGCGAAAGCUAGGGGAGCAAACGGGAUUAGAUACCCCGGUAGUCCUAGCCGUAAACGAUGGGCACUAAGUAGAGGGGUUUU